RNAcentral lists this microRNA precursor (72 nucleotides) under Gorilla gorilla gorilla (western lowland gorilla). RNAcentral's name for it is "miRNA (ENSGGOG00000036514.1)". It matches the Rfam family "mir-3689 microRNA precursor family". The record is from RNAcentral. Lineage: Eukaryota; Metazoa; Chordata; Mammalia; Primates; Hominidae.
GGGAGUUGUGAUAUCGUGGUUCCUGGGAGGUGUGAUCCCCUGCUUCCUGGGAGGUGUGAUCCCGUGCUCCCU